RNAcentral lists this ribosomal RNA (1573 nucleotides) under Serratia marcescens. RNAcentral's name for it is "partial 23S ribosomal RNA". It matches the Rfam family "Bacterial large subunit ribosomal RNA", at positions 1 to 1616 of the family's 2925-position model. Lineage: Bacteria; Pseudomonadati; Pseudomonadota; Gammaproteobacteria; Enterobacterales; Yersiniaceae. The record is from RNAcentral.
GGUUAAGUGACUAAGCGUACACGGUGGAUGCCUAGGCAGUCAGAGGCGAUGAAGGGCGUGCUAAUCUGCGAAAAGCGUCGGUAAGGUGAUAUGAACCGUUAUAACCGGCGAUACCCGAAUGGGGAAACCCAGUGUGUUUCGACACACUAUCAUGUCAUGAAUACAUAGUGGCAUGAGGCGAACCGGGGGAACUGAAACAUCUAAGUACCCCGAGGAAAAGAAAUCAACCGAGAUUCCCCCAGUAGCGGCGAGCGAACGGGGAGGAGCCCAGAACCUGAAUCGGCUUGUGUGUUAGUGGAAGCGUCUGGAAAGUCGCGCAGCAAAGGGUGAUAGCCCCGUACACUAAAAUGCACAGGUCGUGAGUUCGAUGAGUAGGGCGGGACACGUGACAUCCUGUCUGAAUAUGGGGGGACCAUCCUCCAAGGCUAAAUACUCCUGACUGACCGAUAGUGAACCAGUACCGUGAGGGAAAGGCGAAAAGAACCCCGGCGAGGGGAGUGAAAUAGAACCUGAAACCGUGUACGUACAAGCAGUGGGAGCACCUUCGUGGUGUGACUGCGUACCUUUUGUAUAAUGGGUCAGCGACUUAUAUUUUGUAGCAAGGUUAACCGUAUAGGGGAGCCGUAGGGAAACCGAGUCUUAACUGGGCGAAUAGUUGCAAGGUAUAGACCCGAAACCCGGUGAUCUAGCCAUGGGCAGGUUGAAGGUUGGGUAACACUAACUGGAGGACCGAACCGACUAAUGUUGAAAAAUUAGCGGAUGACUUGUGGCUGGGGGUGAAAGGCCAAUCAAACCGGGAGAUAGCUGGUUCUCCCCGAAAGCUAUUUAGGUAGCGCCUCGUGAACUCAUCUUCGGGGGUAGAGCACUGUUUCGGCUAGGGGGCCAUCCCGGCUUACCAAACCGAUGCAAACUCCGAAUACCGAAGAAUGUUAUCACGGGAGACACACGGCGGGUGCUAACGUCCGUCGUGAAGAGGGAAACAACCCAGACCGCCAGCUAAGGUCCCAAAGUCAUGGUUAAGUGGGAAACGAUGUGGGAAGGCAUAGACAGCCAGGAUGUUGGCUUAGAAGCAGCCAUCAUUUAAAGAAAGCGUAAUAGCUCACUGGUCGAGUCGGCCUGCGCGGAAGAUGUAACGGGGCUAAACCAUGCACCGAAGCUGCGGCAGCGACGCUUAGCGUUGUUGGGUAGGGGAGCGUUCUGUAAGCCGUUGAAGGUGGCCUGUGAGGGUUGCUGGAGGUAUCAGAAGUGCGAAUGCUGACAUAAGUAACGAUAAAGCGGGUGAAAAGCCCGCUCGCCGGAAGACCAAGGGUUCCUGUCCAACGUUAAUCGGGGCAGGGUGAGUCGACCCCUAAGGCGAGGCUGAAAAGCGUAGUCGAUGGGAAACAGGUUAAUAUUCCUGUACUUGGUGUUACUGCGAAGGGGGGACGGAGAAGGCUAGGCUAGCCGGGCGACGGUUGUCCCGGUUUAAGCGUGUAGGGGGUGUGACCUGGUAAAUCCGGUUGCAUACUAACCCUGAGGCGUGAUGACGAUGCACUACGGUGCAGAAGUAGUUGAUGCCCUGCUUCCAGGAAAA